Cinara cedri is the source of this 376-nucleotide non-coding RNA. Lineage: Eukaryota; Metazoa; Arthropoda; Insecta; Hemiptera; Aphididae. The record is from the annotation of a GenBank genome assembly.
UGAAAAGAGAACGUCACACGAUAUUUUCGUUUUCUCUGUUUGUCCAACAGCGUGGCGAUAAUACUCGGUCGAUGUGUGCGCAGCUGCAGCCCCCUUUCAAACGCGUACCCGAUUUCCCGUGCGUCGUGAAUUACAAUGAAACAUUUUAGACGUCGGUUCGUAGGGUCGUAAAUAUCACGGAUUUCAAUUACGGUCACGAGUUUUUUUUUCUAAAUGGAAUAUUAAUGGUAAUACAAACAAUCGUUGACACACAGCUGCCACCGCCGUGUCUCACACCGUAUAACCGUCGUCCCUAGCAACCGAGGGCAAUUGUACGACGACCCUUCCAUCCACUGUCAGCUUCGCAGGACGACGACACCCGGUGGUGGGGUACGAA